UUUGAUCAAAAUGAGUCUAACAGUAGAGACAAAAUAUAGUUCUUUUCUUCGAAUGCGCGACUCCCCUUUCCCAAAAAACAGAGUGUCAUCACCAUCAUGCCCAAAACAACAGUAAAAAUCAUUACCCUUUUCCCCUCUUUCUUCCUUCCACUCUCCCCAUCCACCAAAAUGAGAAACCCUAGCUGACAUCGCUAUCGCAGCUCCGCCGCAGGCCUGCAAGAUUCUCCUCUAUUUCGCACUGUUUCAGACCGUGACUCCAUUUUAACAGAGAAAAUCUGACUCAAAUCGGUGUAAAACAAAAAUUUGAUCCUGGGGAAAGCUUUGAAAGCUGAAGAUUUUGGAGAAAUCCGAAUUCCUUCUCUAGAUUCUUGCGUUUUUCCUCAACUUUGGCUUCAAAUCCAGACUUGAAAAUAGGGUGUUUUCCAAUCCUAAAGUAAAAAGGAGAUUUAAUUAUAAUUGAAUUGGUCUCAAAGUAUUUUCCUUGAUUGUACUUUUGAGUUUUAUUGCAAAUAGAUUUAAUUUAGGGUUUUGCUACGUGGCUUGAUUCAGUUUUUUUUUUUUUUUUUUUUUUUUUUUUUUUUUCUGUAUUACAUUUGACUAUUAAUUGAGCUUUUGUUGAUUCCUACACCCCCUUUAAUAAACUAUUCACGUAUAGAAAAUUAAAAGUAAUUUUACUAAUUUACCCUAAUUAAAUUUUGUUUUAUGUAAGUUGACAUUGAUUAUUAUAUAUAAACUCAAUGGUAUAUUAAAAAAUUAUGAUCAAAGUAUUCUUGAAGAUCUAAGCAUACAUUUAUUUAGGAACAAAAUUGCAACCAAAAGGAGCUCAAUUUCAG
This 833-nucleotide long non-coding RNA is filed under the name Capsicum annuum. RNAcentral describes it as "long non-coding RNA (CANN_LNC006071)". The record is from RNAcentral. Lineage: Eukaryota; Viridiplantae; Streptophyta; Magnoliopsida; Solanales; Solanaceae.